This 2033-nucleotide long non-coding RNA is filed under the name Sus scrofa (pig). RNAcentral describes it as "lncRNA (ENSSSCG00045011330.1)". Lineage: Eukaryota; Metazoa; Chordata; Mammalia; Artiodactyla; Suidae. The record is from RNAcentral.
UUUUUUUUUUUUUUUUUUCUUUUUAGGGCCGCACUGCAGCACAUGGAGGUUCCCAGGCUAGGGGGCCAUCUAAGCUACAGCUGCCAGCCCACACCACAGGCACAGCAAUGCUGGAUCCUUAACCCGCUGAGCGAGGCCAGGGAUCAAACCUGUGUCCUCAUGGAUACUAGUUGGGUUUGUUAGUGCUGAGCCACAGUGGGAACUCCUUCCCCUCUAAUCUUAAUUAUCUCAUUCCUCUGCAUGUUUUGGGUUGUUUGCUCUUGUUCCAGCCUCUUUGAGUGGCAUAUUAAGUUGCUGAUCUACGUAGAGAUCUCUUCUGUGACACAGGGGCCUGGAGUUAUAAAUUGCCCUCUGAGCGCUGCAUUAGCUGCAUCUCUGAAGUUCUGGGGGGUGUGUUUUCACUCCAUUUACCUCGAAGUAGUUUUAAUUGCCCUCGCGUGCUCCUUGUGUGUCCUUCUGUCUCUGCUUGCUUUCUGCUGAUGAGAAGAGCACCUCCCCAGGCCCUAAACGGUCUUCAGAACCAUGAUUUCUGCAGCUUCCCAAGAGACCCCUGCUGGGACUGCUGUCCCACGGGCCCCUCUGUGGCCAUCCUCCCUGCUCCCUGCAGGCUCUGGCUCGGUUCCUGGGUGCAAAGUCUUGUAGAAGAGGAAGCACGCAUUUAAAGGUCCUUGUCACAUCCUGCCAUCCUCCCCGCCCCUGGCAGUGUUUGUGCACCCCAGCACCCUUCUCAGAAUGGCUGAGGGGGUUGCACAAGCACAUGGAGACAAGUCCCCAGCAGUGGAAGGUCCCAGGCUGUGCGUCCAGCCUGGUGAGGGUCGUUGCCCCGGGACUGCCCACUUGCCUCAUGGGGGAAGCACCCAGCCGACCUCAACCUCGACAGCAGUGUGCACCCAGCCGCUCAGCCUUCUGUGUGGGUUUUGCUUUCAUGGGGGGUUUGCAUACAUAGUGUCACAGUGCGUCAGGUCAGGAGGCAGAGAGCCUGGGGCUGAGAGCAGGUCUGAGGAGGCUGGAUGGAAGCGGGCAAGGCCUCCCCUCUCCAGCCCCGGCCCAGCGGUCGGUCCUAUGAUGAUGAGGCUGUGUUUGCAGAAUAUUUGCAGGUUGCAGGCGGGGUGGGGUGCUUUCUUAGGGCCUCUGGAGGCUCCUGGAGGGGGCAGUGGGGACAGGACCCCAUGCUAGGGUCCAAACUGCAGAGGCAUCAUCACUUCCCAGACUGUCCCCCCCCCAUCCCGCCCCUCCCCCUCUUUCAUUUUUGGGAUCCCAUUAGUACCUGGGGCUGCAGCUCCCUGGGGAGACUCCAGGCACGGAGAGCUGCUCCCUCCCAGACCUCAAGGUCUCUGGGCAGCUCCGGGGCCCUGGGGGCAGAGGGCUCUGUUUACCUAAUACCGGCUGGGGGGGGUUGGCAAACAGCCCUUGGCUCCAGGCCUGCCUGUCGGGCUGGGUGGCGUCCAGGGGCCCCAAAGCCUACAUACCUUCCUCCCCACCUCCCCGGGCGCUGACCUGCGGUGACCUCACACAAAGGAAAUCCCUCAAGCCAACUUCCAGGGCUGUGGGGGUGGGGUCGGGCACCUUGCAGGUCACACCCUCUCCUGGGCCUGAGGAGUGUGCUGAGACCUCAGGGCGAGCCAGCGGGGUUGAGGGCCAGAGAGGGAAAGCCAUGUGUCUGAAGACACACAGCAGCGCCACAGUUUCUUCCUGUGGCUGGGGGCCCCCACCACACCUGGUCCUCAGGGCUCCAGCCCUAACGGGGGACAGUGGGGAGACAGACCUGCUUUUCGAGGCAGCUGGGCUCCUGUCCAAAUUCCUAACAGCCUGAGAAACACCCUCCAGAAAAAAAGCAGCCCAAGUCAUCAUCUCGUGUGUUUAAAAAAUUCUGGCAUUUUCCCCUCAAAAUCUGUCCUAGUUAUGCUUGAGAUCUCCUGACCCCAGAAUACUUUUAUUUAUGACAGAAAAUUCAUCUCCAUGGCAACGCCUUAGGAAGCUGCAGCAUCGAGAUUAUAACUUCCCAAGCAAUGAAGAAAAUAAAUGGAUUUCUC